AAAACCCAGUUUCAAGUGGUCUGUUUUAUCACUGCUUCCUCUGCUCAGACCAAAACAAAGAGCCAAAAAACAAAACAGAGAAGAAGAAAACAAAUGGCGAUCAUCAAGAAGUCUUUGAAGACAAAUUCGGGUUCAUCGACACUACGAAGAACUCUGAAGAAUCGGAACAUGAAGGCGAGGAUUGCGAGAUUGAAGAAGGAGACGAAGGAGAUUGAAAUGGAAUAGAAAGACAUAGCAAAGGGUCACAGAGAAAUAGCUAAAAAGCUUGAGUUGAUCAAAACCAGUCAUGCCCAGAUGAAGAAAGAAAUUCAGGUAUUAAACGAAGGGAGUGCACACUUGCGAUGUAGAAUCAAUAUCAUGUUCAAAAUCUUGAAAGCGAGAAAACUUGGCGAUUCCAUUGAAGAAGAGAAGCUUGUUCAGUCACUCCUCGCCAUUACUCCUCGAAACUAAGGGGUUGGAGAUGUUAUUCACAAAAAUAAGUGGAGUUAAGAGUGAAUCAAAUUAACAUGUAAAUACAUCUAUGCAUGGAAGUUUUACUUAUAUGUAGUAGUAACCUUUGUUCAAAGUAUACAGUGAAUUUGAUUUUUCUUAGU
Long non-coding RNA from Tripterygium wilfordii, 593 nucleotides. RefSeq lists it as uncharacterized. Lineage: Eukaryota; Viridiplantae; Streptophyta; Magnoliopsida; Celastrales; Celastraceae. The record is from RefSeq and is a predicted model, not a curated record. The transcript has 2 exons.